RNAcentral lists this ribosomal RNA (497 nucleotides) under uncultured bacterium. RNAcentral describes it as "partial 16S ribosomal RNA". It matches the Rfam family "Bacterial small subunit ribosomal RNA", at positions 28 to 507 of the family's 1533-position model. The record is from RNAcentral.
GACGAACGCUGGCGGCGUGCCUAAUACAUGCAAGUAGAACGCUGAAGAGAGGAGCUUGCUCUUCUUGGAUGAGUUGCGAACGGGUGAGUAAAGCGUAGGUAACCUGCCUUGUAGCGGGGGAUAACUAUUGGAAACGAUAGCUAAUACCGCAUAACAAUGGAUGACCCAUGUCAUUUAUUUGAAAGGGGCAAAUGCUCCACUACAAGAUGGACCUGCGUUGUAUUAGCUAGUAGGUGAGGUAACGGCUCACCUAGGCGACGAUACAUAGCCGACCUGAGAGGGUGAUCGGCCACACUGGGACUGAGACACGGCCCAGACUCCUACGGGAGGCAGCAGUAGGGAAUCUUCGGCAAUGGGGGCAACCCUGACCGAGCAACGCCGCGUGAGUGAAGAAGGUUUUCGGAUCGUAAAGCUCUGUUGUAAGUCAAGAACGAGUGUGAGAGUGGAAAGUUCACACUGUGACGGUAGCUUACCAGAAAGGGACGGCUAACUACGUG